GAUGAACGCUAGCGGCAGGCCUAACACAUGCACGUCGAGGGAGAAGCCCUUUCGGGGGCUGAAACCGGCGCACGGGUGCGUCACGCGUAUGCAACCUACCUUUCACAGGGGGAUAGCCCGAAGAAAUUUGGAUUCAUACCCCAUAAUAUUAUUGGAUGGCAUCAUUUGAUAAUUAAAACUGCGGUGGUGAAAGAUGGGCAUGCGUCCUAUUAGCUAGUUGGAGUGGUAACGGCACCCCAAGGCUACGAUAGGUAGGGGUCCUGAGAGGGAGAUCCCCCACACGGGUACUGAGACAGGAACCAGACUCCUGCGGGAGGCAGCAGUGAGGAAUAUUGGGCAAUGGGCGGAAGAUUGAACCAGCCAUGCCGCGUGCAGGAAGAAUGCCUUAUGGGUUGUAAACUGCUUUUAUAUGGGAAGAAUAAGGCGUACGUGUACGUUGAUGACGGUACCAUAUGAAUAAGCAGCGGCUGACGCCGUG
Molecule: ribosomal RNA, 478 nt
Filed under: uncultured bacterium
Lineage: Bacteria
Description: partial 16S ribosomal RNA
Rfam family: Bacterial small subunit ribosomal RNA
Source: RNAcentral